Molecule: non-coding RNA, 27 nt
Filed under: Mus musculus (house mouse)
Lineage: Eukaryota; Metazoa; Chordata; Mammalia; Rodentia; Muridae
Source: RNAcentral
GCCUAAUCUCCCAUCAGAAGGCUUUCC